Molecule: ribosomal RNA, 468 nt
Filed under: uncultured bacterium
Lineage: Bacteria
Description: partial 16S ribosomal RNA
Rfam family: Bacterial small subunit ribosomal RNA
Source: RNAcentral
GACGAACGCUGGCGGCGUGCUUAACACAUGCAAGUCGAACGGAAAGGCCCUGCUUUUGUGGGGUGCUCGAGUGGCGAACGGGUGAGUAACACGUGAGUAACCUGCCCUUUACUUUGGGAUAACUUCAGGAAACUGGGGCUAAUACCGGAUAUGAUCUCCUGCUGCAUGGUGGGGGUUGGAAAGUUUCGGCGGUUGGGGAUGGACUCGCGGCUUCUCAGCUUGUUGGUGGGGUAGUGGCUUACCAAGGCUUUGACGGGUAGCCGGCCUGAGAGGGUUACCGGGCACAAGAGGACUGAGAUACGGACCAGAAUGCUACGGGAGGCAGCAGGGGGGAAUAUUGCAGAAUGGGGCGAAGUCAGAGGUAGCAACGCUGCGUGCGGGAAGACGGCCUAUGGGGUGAAAACCGAUUUGGCCUGUGAAGAAGAGGGAGUGACGGUAAUGGGUAAAGAAGCACCGGCUAACUACGUG